AAUAAUUAUAACAAUAUACAGCAAUGAGAGCUACAUGAAUCUAGUCUCUUUCUCUCUCAAAAUAUUUUAUUGUACUGUCUUCACCAUUCUUCUCUUAAUCUGUCAAUCUGAUCACCAAGAGGACUGCUGAGUGACUCGUGGGCAGGUAGCAUGGACAGCGUGGAUAUGCUGGGCAAAAGAAUGAUUCACUAAGUGACUAAGGGGCGGGAGCCAGACAGUGAGCUUUCUGAUGAACAGCGGGCAAUUUAAAACUUAUGAACUGUUGGCUGGGCACAGUGGGUCACGCCUGUAAUCCCAGUAUGUUGGGAGGCCGAGGCGGGUGGAUCACUUGAGGUCAGGAGUUCGAGACCAGCCUGGCCAAUAUGGUGAAGCCCCGUCUCUAUUAAAAAUACAAAAAUUAUCCUGGCAUGGUGGCUCACACCUGUAAUCCCAACUACUCUGGAAGCAAAGAAUCGCUUGAACCCGGGAAGCGGAAGUUGCAGUGAGCCGAGAUUGCGCCACUGCACUCCAGCCUGAGUGUCACAGUGAGACUCUGUCUCAAAAUAAACAAAUAAAUAAAUGAAUAAAUCAUGAGUUGUUUACUUCUGGGAUUUUCCAUUUAAUAUUACUAACCGUGGUUGACCAGGGGCAACAGAAGCCGUGGAUAAUGGGGGCUAUUGUACACAAAAAUUACCAUGAUAGAGUUUUACGCAGUACAAAUGAAAAACAAAAUAACACAAUUCCAUUUACACGUAGUUUUAUGUAGAAAGUCUUUAAAUAAUUGUGACUAGAAUUAAAUACAGUAGAUUACUAUUAGUAAUUAUUUGUGAUGUGACAGAUGUGUUACUAUAUACUUAGUUUAUCACUUUCUCUUCCUAGACCCACAAGAAGUUAUUUCUCAGCCUUUCUUGCAGUUUCCAUGUACUUGGGCCCUACACAAGAUGUGGGAUGAAAGCAGUGAAAGACAUUUCCACUACUGGUCCUCUUAAAAAUUCUAAUACAAACUUCCAGUAAUGACCUUGGAGACCCUAUGUUCCAGAUUGAGAAGUUAAAAGAUAGACAAGGACUACAUAGCCUACAUCAAGUUUUGGGUAUAUUAACUUCUACCUUCCAUGUUCUGUGGAAUCUCAUGCCAAAGGCUUUUUUGAGCAAUUGGGUCUUGACUGCUGCAGCUUGAUGAUAGAUUCAACACGAUCUAAUGAAGAAUGACAGCUGGAAAUCAGAGACAGUGUGCAAUAUAGAAACCAUCUUUUUCUCAAUGUCACCAUGAAUUAUUUAUGUAACUCAAAAUAUUUUAUUUCACGUUCAAAAUAAAUAAAUCUGCUUUAAAAACAAGUUUAAUAAGCUUAUUGUAUAUUGUAGUUAUCUGACACAUUUGGGUAUUUAUUUACGUGUGUAAUUAUCAUGAAAAUCUGAGAGACGAUUUAUUUUCUAGAAAUUAAGCCCACUGCAAUGAAAUCUCCUUUUAGGUGUUCUAAUAGUUUUCCUUAUAAACAUCUUAUUACCUUGCAUUGAUAUGUUAUAUCAAAUUUUGAAAUGGGCAUCAUCUUCUAAUUUUAUUGGAGCACUAAAUACUCUAGCCACUGAAAACAAUUUAUGAGAGGAUUUCUUUUAAAAUUCUGUAAGGCUGAUGCAUCUAAUUAUCUCAGCUUCUUUCUUUUAAAAAUGUAUUUGACACAAAGAGAAAAAAUGAAUAAAAAUGUAUAUGAAA
This 1690-nucleotide long non-coding RNA is filed under the name Homo sapiens (human). RNAcentral describes it as "HSALNT0162955". The record is from RNAcentral. Lineage: Eukaryota; Metazoa; Chordata; Mammalia; Primates; Hominidae.